Molecule: long non-coding RNA, 1408 nt
Filed under: Scleropages formosus (Asian bonytongue)
Lineage: Eukaryota; Metazoa; Chordata; Actinopteri; Osteoglossiformes; Osteoglossidae
Description: lncRNA (ENSSFOG00015028547.1)
Source: RNAcentral
AUUUAAUGGUAUUAAAUGAAUAAUGCUUUACAAUGAAAAUUCUGGAUGAACAUCUGGAUUAAUUUAUUUGUUUACCAAAAAUCACAAAGAAAGAUAGAAAUAUUAUGGAAAGCAGGAUUCUCUUCUGUUUUUGUGUUUUUUUUCUGUGAUUUUCUAAUCUUUUUUUAAAAAAAUUUACAAAUGUUACAUAGUCAGUAAUGUGAUCUGGGGUCAUCAGGUGUUUCGAGUCUUUCAACAUCAACCCUUGCCCAGGGUUGAUUAAGUCCCGACUUGCGUGCGAGCAGCAACUGACCACGGAUCCGCUCUCUUAAUCCAGAGCUGCCUAGUGGCUCUCUCUGUGGCUUCAGUAGCUGAUGUGAUGGCCUUCCUCUUCACCUCCCCUGAGAUGCCCAGCAGUGUUAGGGCUUUGCACAAUGAGUGCCCUGCAAAUCCCUGACAGCCCACCUCAAUGGGCAUGCAAUGUGUAUGCCAGCCUUCCUUCUGACAUUGUUCCACAAGCUCCUGGUACUUUGCACAUUUUUGCUUGUUGGCUUCCUCCAGGUGCACCUUCCAGGGCACUGUCAGCUCCAACAUGACCAUUUGCUUGCUAGUCUUAGAAAAGAUUAUCAUUCCCAGGCAGAGAGAUGUGAAUAUAAUGUUUUCUGGGAACCUCAACUACUUAUCCAAGUGUUCUCUCAGAUGCCAGUGGGUAACUAUGAUUAGGAGGCCUGUCUUCCCUCUAGGGUGUGGGUGGACCUUGUGGCCAGCCUUAAAAAAGGAGAAAGUCUUCCAUGCAGAGUGGUGAUGCUUGGUGGUGCUGAUGACUGUGGCAUCAUGUUCUGCAACAGCCUUUAGCACUUGGUCGUGAAGCCAACGGUAGCAACCUUCUCCAAGACCUUGCAGGCAACUGCUCAGAAUGUGUUCCAGGGAUGCCCUCCCGGUGCAAAGAGUGCAGGUGGGCGAUUCACUCUUCCCCAAGACAUGAAGCUCAACUGGACAGUAUUACAAGAAACGCUGCUUUGUUUUCCCAAUAAUAAACCAUGGAUAAUUAUAUACGUCAAGAGACAGAAGGAGCUGAUGGUUGAUUUUCAAAAUGCUAUGUGUUACUGCUACCUCAGAGCAACAGUUGACAUAACAGUUAGAGCUGCAGCCCUUGGAACUUCAGAUCAGAGAUUUAAAUCCUAUCUCCUUCUAGAGUACUCUCGAGCAAGGUAUGGCAACACAGUGAGUAGUGCUGCUGUUUCACAGCACCUAGGUUGUGUGGGAGAAUGUUUUUUGGACCCAGCUCAGUCUGAGUGGUGUUUUCAUGUUCUCCCCAUGUCUGCAUAUAAAGACAUGCUGUGCAGGUGGAUUAGCAACUCAAAAAAGAGUCACCCAGAGCAUUUGAGUGACAGAAACAAUGAGUUUUACAUUAUUUAUUAAUUUAGGU